RNAcentral lists this ribosomal RNA (269 nucleotides) under Bacteroidales bacterium. RNAcentral's name for it is "partial 16S ribosomal RNA". It matches the Rfam family "Bacterial small subunit ribosomal RNA", at positions 1 to 277 of the family's 1533-position model. The record is from RNAcentral. Lineage: Bacteria; Pseudomonadati; Bacteroidota; Bacteroidia; Bacteroidales.
ACAACGAAGAGUUUGAUCCUGACUCAGGAUGAACGCUAGCGACAGGCCUAACACAUGCAAGUCGAGCGGCAGCACCUCGGGUGGCGAGCGGCGCACUGGUGAGUAACGAGUAUGUAACCUGCCCUUAAGUGGGGGAUAGCCCGGUGAAAACCGGAUUAAUACCGCAUAAUACUGGUCUAAAACAUUUUGGACGAGUUAAAGAUGUAUUGCUUAAGGAUGGACAUGCGUCCGAUUAGCUGGUUGGCGGGGCAACGGCCCACCAAGGCGAC